This 349-nucleotide unclassified non-coding RNA is filed under the name Hevea brasiliensis (rubber tree). The record is from RNAcentral. Lineage: Eukaryota; Viridiplantae; Streptophyta; Magnoliopsida; Malpighiales; Euphorbiaceae.
GAAGAACAGGAUGGUAGAAGACGAUAUGACCUUCGCAACCGAGCUGAGGUACGCAGACUUUCUAUGGAAGGUGUUAAACAAAGGCCAAGAUCUCCUCGUAGGGUACUUCAGCAAGGGAUGGGGACCAAGGUGAACAGAGAUGUAAGAAGAGGAGGAUCCCGAGUUCAUAAACGUCAUCGGAUGACACGAGGCGAUGACUCUGAUGAUUCUCUUCUUGUAGAUGAGCUGGACGAAGGUCCUCCAAUUCCUUGGGGUAGAGGUGGGAGUAGAUCUGGACCACCUUGGCUUUUAGGGGGAUUAGAUAUGCAAGGAACAACAUCGUGGGGAUUAAAUGUGGCUGCAUCUGGAU